GACGAACGCUGGCGGCGUGCUUAACACAUGCAAGUCGAACGGAAAGGCCCUGCUUUUGUGGGGUGCUCGAGUGGCGAACGGGUGAGUAACACGUGAGUAACCUGCCCUUGACUUUGGGAUAACUUCAGGAAACUGGGGCUAAUACCGGAUAGGAGCUCCUGCUGCAUGGUGGGGGUUGGAAAGUUUCGGCGGUUGGAAGUGGACUCGCGGGUUAUCAGCUUGUUGGUGGGGUAGUGGCUUACCAAGGCUUUGACGGGUAGCCGGCCUGAGAGGGUGACCGGCCACAUUGGGACUGAGAUACGGCCCAGACUCCAACGGGAGGCAGCAGUGGGGAAUAUUGCACAAUGGUCGGAAGCCUGAUGCAGCAACGCCGCGUGCGGGAUGACGGCCUUCGUGUUGUAAACCGCUUUCGCCUGUGACGAAGCGUGAGUGACGGUAAUGGGUAAAGAAGCACCGGCUAACUACGUG
RNAcentral lists this ribosomal RNA (468 nucleotides) under uncultured bacterium. RNAcentral's name for it is "partial 16S ribosomal RNA". It matches the Rfam family "Bacterial small subunit ribosomal RNA", at positions 28 to 507 of the family's 1533-position model. The record is from RNAcentral.